GUGACUGUUAAAGGCAGCCUCAAUUAGUGAGAUGCAGGUCAUGAUGGAAAUGGGCCAGAUUGGAGGGGCCCCAUGGAAACAGAAUCCACAGGACUUGGAUACAGAAGGAUGAAGAUGAUUCCAGGGUGACUCUGAGAACCCAGCUGGGGGGCUGUGGGAUGAGGGUUACAUUAACAGAAAAAGGGAAGGUUAUGGAGGAUGGUGAGCCUGGCUGACGCAUACAUGAUUAUUCCUCAAAGAUUUUAAAUAAACAACUAGGAUGUGACCUCUAAAGAAGGUUAAUCCCGACUUCUGGCCUUCCACUGAGAAAUCUUUCCUCUUCAAAAACAGACUUGUCAUUAUACCCACCCACAGUACUCUACACUUCUUCACAACAUUUAUCCCAGCUCUGGUUAA
Molecule: non-coding RNA, 396 nt
Organism: Macaca mulatta (Rhesus monkey)
Lineage: Eukaryota; Metazoa; Chordata; Mammalia; Primates; Cercopithecidae
Source: RefSeq, a predicted model, not a curated record